Long non-coding RNA from Cucumis sativus (cucumber), 263 nucleotides. RefSeq lists it as uncharacterized. Lineage: Eukaryota; Viridiplantae; Streptophyta; Magnoliopsida; Cucurbitales; Cucurbitaceae. The record is from RefSeq and is a predicted model, not a curated record. The transcript has 3 exons.
CGUGCAGAAGUGUUUUGCACGAUGUCUUUUGUGUAGAUCCUGCGGCAACUUCUAUUUAACGUCGAUGGUCAAAGUCUUGUUACAAGAUAUUGGCGACAUCGGUGAUUUGGAGUUAGUGUCCUUGAGUUACGCCUUAAGCUUUGUUGGAGUUCGAUUCUUUACUCUUGGGGUUUGUUUGUUGAAGUUAGUUCGACUAAGGAAUUUUACAUAAAGAUCCAGGCAAAGGUAAUAAAGGCGGCAAACAGGCGAGGGGCAGGAAGGAA